UCUUCUAUUCCAUGGAACAUUUAUUAUGUGGGGUGACUCCAAAACUGCAGUCCUGGGCUGUGAACUAGUGCGGUUCCCUUCACUUGGUGAGGGCAAGGACGCCUCUCCAUUUUAACCGCAGUGAGAAUCUGCACGUUGUUCUUUACCAUCGAGACUGGCUCUCACUGUUGGAGUAGUGAGUUGAAUCCAGGGUGCAGCUUACAGUGUCCCACUGAGCUACAGCCCCAGCCUCCAAUUCAGCAGUCUGUUGUAUUAAAGCGAAUCAGUGUCUACUGAUACCACAGAUCCUCCUACGA
Molecule: long non-coding RNA, 296 nt
Filed under: Rattus norvegicus (Norway rat)
Lineage: Eukaryota; Metazoa; Chordata; Mammalia; Rodentia; Muridae
Description: long non-coding RNA NONRATT021301
Source: RNAcentral